GUGGGGAAUCUUGCGCAAUGGGCGAAAGCCUGACGCAGCCAUGCCGCGUGAAUGAUGAAGGUCUUAGGAUUGUAAAAUUCUUUCACCGGGGACGAUAAUGACGGUACCCGGAGAAGAAGCCCCGGCUAACUUCGUGCCAGCAGCCGCGGUAAUACGAAGGGGGCUAGCGUUGCUCGGAAUUACUGGGCGUAAAGGGCGCGUAGGCGGACAGUUUAGUCAGAGGUGAAAGCCCAGGGCUCAAACUUGGAAUUGCCUUUGAUACUGGCUGUCUUGAGUACGGGAGAGGUGAGUGGAACUCCGAGUGUAGAGGUGAAAUUCGUAGAUAUUCGGAAGAACACCAGUGGCGAAGGCGACUCACUGGCCCGUUACUGACGCUGAGGCGCGAAAGCGUGGGGAGCAAACAGGAUUAGAAACCCGUGUAGUCC
RNAcentral lists this ribosomal RNA (425 nucleotides) under uncultured bacterium. RNAcentral describes it as "partial 16S ribosomal RNA". It matches the Rfam family "Bacterial small subunit ribosomal RNA", at positions 354 to 796 of the family's 1533-position model. The record is from RNAcentral.